UGAGGAUCGAACCGGCAACCUUCCGGUCACGAGCCUGGAUCCCUAACCUCCAGCCCACGACUGCCCCAAAAAAGCAAAAACGGUUCUAUUUCCAUUUUCUGGACUAAAGAACCCUAGAACCAUUCUUUUUAAGAUUGUAAGCAAGUGUCUCCUUCCGUACAUACAGUCAUGGAAGGUCUGUGAACAUUUUUCCGUGCAUGCCGUGUCAGUUUGCUUCACUGCUGCAUUGAGCGGGUGCAUCCUUUACAGUCAAUAGUAUUAGUGUUGUGUUAAUGUAUGUUGGCAGAAGUGCUGGAACAGGUAUAAUGAUGGAUGCACCGCUGUGAGGCUGUAGUCUGAUGUUAUUUAAUGCAUUUGCAAAAUGUAACUACCCGCCCAAAAGGUGGACACUUUUUUUCCCAAGCCUUCCCAAAACAUUAUUUCUGUCUGCACCUUAUGUCCAGGGAUGGGGGAGUAGAUAAGAAGUGUGCUGCAUUUUGUAGUUAACUACAAUAUUAGUAGCUUUCACUACAGUUUCACUACAGGCUUCAGUCAAUAUGUGCAAAUUGAACCACAGAACAUUGUCGUUAACCGGGCUGGUGCCGGUCGUACAAUCCUGACAGAGCCGCGGACAGUUUGAACAAACGGUCAUGCGCUGAUCACCACUUACUAAUAAGCUUAGCUCAGGGGUCACAACCCAAUUGAUAAGAAGAGCCGUUUUGUCCUUUCAGCAAAAAAUCAAACCACCUUGGGAGGCACGACACCUUAUAUCUGUUUUACCAUCGUGUCUGUAAACAUGUCUCAGAACGUGCUGAUGUUCUAGUUCAGGUUAAAAACUUAAAUAAUUGCAAACUCAGACUUAUUUUGCUCUGUAGCCACUUUUCCCGCACCUCAGGAAACUUCUCCACGAGUUUCUUGCAAAAUGUCUCUCAAUGUUUGACUUUUUUACGAGGCUGAAGUCGCUUUUCAUCCUCCGGCUUCUCGCUGGUGGAGCGGGAGAAUUCGAACGAGAAGCAGGAGAAUGAGAAGGAACUUCAGCUUGGUCCGCGUUGCUAUGGUGACCAGCAGUCUGCACAUCAGUCUCCAGGGUUAAAGGCUUGACCAACGUUUAACUGACCUGUCCAGGAAGACCUUUCACAGAGGAAUCAAAAGAACACAAUGGAGGAGAGAGAAAAAAUCAUAGAAGAAAGACAGAAGCUUCUGAAUCAGAAAGAAAUUAAUUUUCUAGAAAGAGAAAAGCGUUUGGACGGAAGAGAGAGACAGACAGACCCAAGACCGCGUGUCUUGUCUGGGAGAAGUCAUUGGGACGACCUAGAUGAUAUUUCAACUCGAGAAAGUUUUUCAAUUAGCCCACCCCCCAUAAGAAGAAGAAGAAGCAUUGCUGAACCUCCAGACUUGGGAAAAGAAAAAAGCCCACCAAAGCCAGACAAACCUGCAACUGAACCUGACCCUGUUGUCGUGAGCUGAGUUCAAUGUGGAAGUUCAGCCUAGAGAUUCUGGAGAUGACACCAACCAGAAAUCACAUUGGAAGCCUUUAGCACAAUUGCAGUUUUCCCAUUUUCAUGUUUUUAUUGACAGUUUAUCUUGCAGAGAUAAAGAUCAAGAUUUGUCCCACAUAAUGAGUCUCAUAAAAUUACAAAGGAACAUAUGCACCCUUUAGGUCUUCUGGGCACCACCAUCCCAUCAAAUCUAAUAAGAGGUUUUUGUAAAAUUACCUUUAAAAAGUAACAAUGAAAAGCUAAAGACAAAUGAAAAAAAAACCCUCACAGAAUAACCCACAAUUUCCUUCAGUCAAACCAGAAAAGUUGGCAUAUAUGGAUACUGGUUCCAAAAAUGUCAACUAUUUCGCCUCCGUUUUGUUAUCCUAUUUGUAGGAUCAGUGGUUGUGAUUAUGUUUGUGUGACUAAGUUUUCAGGUGUCUGAAAUUGAUCUGAUCAUUCGGCUCAGUUGGAACCUGUUUGGGAAGCUAAUUGGCCAUCGCCUCCCUUCUCACAUUGCACUUCAAACAUCAAUCAAAGAAGCUGAAAUGCAGCCCAAUCAUGAAAUUCAACCAGUUAUGAAUAAAUUGGGCUUGAAAUCACAGCAUCAAUAUGCUUUUAUCUCUGUGCUCUGGUUAAAGUACACAUGACCUGGACAAAUCAUGUAAAGUAACAUUUUGAAUAAUAUACAAGAAAUGACCAUCGGGAAUCACAUGUAUUAUCUUGCUAUCUUAGCUUUCUGUUACUAGCAGUGUGUAGUGCUGUAUUAAGCUUAAUGUCACCAUAAAAUAUGAAAAAUAUUGAAUAAACACUCUUUGCAUGUAAA
Long non-coding RNA from Pygocentrus nattereri (red-bellied piranha), 2283 nucleotides. RefSeq lists it as uncharacterized. The record is from RefSeq and is a predicted model, not a curated record. The transcript has 5 exons. Lineage: Eukaryota; Metazoa; Chordata; Actinopteri; Characiformes; Serrasalmidae.